This 68-nucleotide small RNA is filed under the name Kribbella flavida DSM 17836. Lineage: Bacteria; Bacillati; Actinomycetota; Actinomycetes; Propionibacteriales; Kribbellaceae. The record is from RNAcentral.
CAGGAACCCGGUGUGAGUCCGGGGCGGUCCCGCCACUGUGACCACGUUCGCGUGGGAGUCAGGAACUG